GCCAAGGUUAUAGACAAUUUGUGAAAUGAGUGACUCUGAGGAUGACCAUAUCCCCCCGCUGUCUUCCCACACCUUAGCAGCCCUCCAGGAAUUUUAUGCGGAGCAGAAGCAACAAAGUGACCCAGGCAGGGAUAAUAAAUAUACAUUGGAAUAAUAGAAGAGAACUGGCAGCUGAGCCAGUUUUGGUAGUCAGGACACCGCUUUGCGACUUGCAAAGGAAGCGAUUGCAGCUGCUGGAGAAGGUGGCAGAAUAGCCUGUGUGAGCGCCGCCAGUGUUUACCAGAAACUGAGAGCCCUACACAGAGAAGACUUUUCUGUAUACAUCUUUGAAUAUGACAAAAGAUUUGCUAUAUACGGAGAGGAGUUUAUCUUCUAUGAUUACAAUAAUCCAUUGGAUUUACCUGAAAAAAUUGCACGUAGUUUUGACAUCGUAAUAGCAGAUCCCCCCUACCUUUCCAAGGAGUGUCUCAGAAAAACAUCAGAAACUAUCAAGUAUCUGACUCAGGGCAAGAUUCUGCUGUGCACAGGUGCUGUCAUGGAAGAAGACGCAGCAAAAAUUCUUGGCAUGAAGAUGUGCAAGUUUAUUCCAAAACACACCCGGACCCUAGGAAAUGAGUUUCUCUGUUAUGUGAAUAAUGAUUCUGGGCUAGACCAUGAAAUCUAAAUCAGGCUUCCCAUUGAGAAUAGCAAGGUUGCUCCCGUCGCAGCGCAGCCCAGCCCCAGCCCACCCGACGGGAGCCUAGUUUGCAGCCUUCCUCCCUCCGCAACAACGCGGCGUCGUUCCCUCCAGUCCUCUAGUAAAACGCUGGGUCCUCGCCCCCUUCCUGAACAACUGUCUCCCUCCGUGAAUAGAUUCUUGCUGUUGCCGGACUGCACGGUCACCGCAUCCAGACCGGAGAGAAUUGGCUUCGCAGGGGCAGGAGACAACCGUGCCGAAGAAGGCCGUCCCGCAGGGGGAGGAACAAGGGCUGUCGGCGGCGCCCCCGGCGGCCCCUUCUCGCGCUCUAGCGCGCCCACCUCAGCCCGGGAGGCUCUGCGCCGCCGGCCGGGGGCGAGCGGAGGGGCGGGGCAGCCGCGAAAGCCGAGCGCCCCUUCUCGGAGCGCGCGCCCGUGGGCCCGCGCGCGGAGUCGGCCCGCCCCGGCCCGCGGCGCCCCCGCCCCCUUGGGCGCUCCGUAG
Odobenus rosmarus divergens (Pacific walrus) is the source of this 1177-nucleotide RNA transcript. It is a transcript of the gene named N(6)-adenine-specific DNA methyltransferase 2-like, with no coding region annotated. The transcript is spliced from 3 exons. The record is from RefSeq and is a predicted model, not a curated record. Lineage: Eukaryota; Metazoa; Chordata; Mammalia; Carnivora; Odobenidae.